Molecule: long non-coding RNA, 838 nt
Organism: Saccostrea cuccullata (small rock oyster)
Lineage: Eukaryota; Metazoa; Mollusca; Bivalvia; Ostreida; Ostreidae
Exons: 3
Source: RefSeq, a predicted model, not a curated record
CUACAUAAACAAAUACAUGGGCGCAGACAUUUUGGACACCCAAAGUUGUGCGGAGGAGAAAAUACUACCUGGCGCGUGAUUGGUCAAUAAGAGAAAAGACUUGUUAUGUAUUUGACAAGUGAAAUAAAGUUGAUAAAAAUCUAAUAUCAAGACUUGGGUUUCUUUGAGAUAUGUAGGAGUUACAGGUAAAAAUUUGAAAGGAGGGGUGCCCUUUGGUUAGAGAUUUUCAUUUGGUGUCAAACGCACCUUGUUGUAAACAAAUGGAAAUUGAAAGUAAAAGUGCCGCGUGACGGUAUAUUUUUUCUGGCAUGUUUUGUUUUCCAAUAUCUUGAACUUUCACGACAAAAAGGCCAUUUGACGGAAAUUCAAUAUAUGUAUGAGUGACAGGGGCUCAAGUUUGUAUGGAAGUCUAUGGGAAAACAUUUAGUGGUGUUUGUCCUAUAGAAUAGCUAUGCAUUCUCAAGAAGGAGGAGAUUAAUGAACCCUCCCCUCUUACAUUGAACAAAACAUGGACACUCUCAAGAUGGUCCCUUUGCUUUCAUUAAGAGUUCCAAGAUGUGUGUCUGAUUGACUGGGGUGUGAAAUGUAACAGCCAAUGGUGUACUUAAGCUAGGACUGUCAGUCCCAAUAUUCAAGAGGUGAGAUAAGCAAUGGAUAUGUGUUCUAAAUAUACUAAAUUGACCACUUUUUAUAAAUGUUUCUUUUACUCUAUAGGAAAAACCCCUACAUAAACAAAUACAUGGGCGCAGACAUUUUGGACACCCAAAGUUGUGCGGAGGAGAAAAUACUACCUGGCGCGUGAUUGGUCAAUAAGAGAAAAGACUUGUUAUGUAUUUGA